UUAAUGACUUUCUAAUAAACAAAAUUAAUUAAUUAUAAUUUGAUCAAAUCAACUAUUUUAAUAUAAUAAAAAAAAUAAUCACCAAGAAUCAUUUGAUUUAAACCAAUAUAUUCAAGAUAAUUAAAAUUAAUAAUUAAAAUUAAUUAAUUUAAACAAAUAUCGAUUAAUUAAUUAAAAAAAUGAUAGAAACAAGUGAACCGCAAUGUGCUCAAACCGGUUAGAGCGAAAUGACAAUAUGAUUUGUG
This 245-nucleotide long non-coding RNA is filed under the name Lathyrus oleraceus (garden pea). Its description in RNAcentral is "Pisum sativum (pea) long non-coding RNA (PSAT_LNC023520)". Lineage: Eukaryota; Viridiplantae; Streptophyta; Magnoliopsida; Fabales; Fabaceae. The record is from RNAcentral.